UACAGGGGGUGCAAACGUUGUUCGGAAUGACUGGGCGUAAAGCGCGCGUAGGCGGACCAUCAAGUCGGGGGUGAAAUCCCGGGGCUCAACCCCGGAAUGGCCUUCGAGACUGGUGGUCUUGAGUUCGAGAGAGGUGAGUGGAAUUCCGAGUGUAGAGGUGAAAUUCGUAGAUAUUCGGAGGAACACCAGUGGCGAAGGCGGCUCACUGGCUCGACACUGACGCUGAGGCGCGAAAGCGUGGGGAGCAAACAGG
RNAcentral lists this ribosomal RNA (253 nucleotides) under uncultured bacterium. Its description in RNAcentral is "partial 16S ribosomal RNA". It matches the Rfam family "Bacterial small subunit ribosomal RNA", at positions 524 to 776 of the family's 1533-position model. The record is from RNAcentral.